This is a non-coding RNA of Peromyscus californicus insignis, 363 nucleotides long. The record is from the annotation of a RefSeq genome assembly. NCBI's taxonomy places the organism in Eukaryota, Metazoa, Chordata, Mammalia, Rodentia, Cricetidae.
AUGGACAAGAUUCUGAAAGCAUCAUUUUUGGUCCUAGCCUUUCACCUAGCCUGGGUGAGUGGCCAACAGCCGGACAGACAUGACCAACAGCAGGUGAGACAAAGUCCCCAAUCUCUGACAGUCUCGGCAGGAGGGACUUCAGUUUUGAACUGCACUUAUGAGAACAGUGCAUUUGACUACUUCCCGUGGUACCGGCAGUUCCCUGGUGAAGGUCCUACACUGCUGAUAGCUAUACGUUCUGGGUUGAAUAAAAAGGAAGAUGGAAGAUUCACAGUCUUCUUCAGUGAAGGCACGAAACAGCUCUCCUUGCACAUCACAGAUUCUCAGCCUGGAGACUCAGCCAAGUCUUUCCAAAUGUUAUAG